GAUGAACGCUGGCGGCGUGCCUAAUACAUGCAAGUCGAGCGAACGGACGAGAAGCUUGCUUCUCUGAUGUUAGCGGCGGACGGGUGAGUAACACGUGGAUAACCUACCUAUAAGACUGGGAUAACUUCGGGAAACCGUAGCUAAUACCGGAUAAUAUUUUGAACCGCAUGGUUCAAAAGUUAAAGACGGUCUUGCUGUCACUUAUAGCUGGAUCCGCGCUGCAUUAGCUAGUUGGUAAGGUAACGGCUUACCAAGGCAACGAUGCAUAGCCGACCUGAGAGGGUGAUCGGCCACAAUGGAACUGAGACACGGUCCAGACUCCUACGGGAGGCAGCAGUAGGGAAUCUUCCGCAAUGGGCGAAAGCCUGACGGAGCAACGCCGCGUGAGUGAUGAAGGUCUUCGGAUCGUAAAACUCUGUUAUUAGGGAAGAACAGAUGUGCAAGUAAAUGUGCACAUCUUGACGGUACCUAAUCAGAAAGCAACGGCUAACUACGUG
This 497-nucleotide ribosomal RNA is filed under the name uncultured bacterium. Its description in RNAcentral is "partial 16S ribosomal RNA". It matches the Rfam family "Bacterial small subunit ribosomal RNA", at positions 28 to 507 of the family's 1533-position model. The record is from RNAcentral.